RNAcentral lists this long non-coding RNA (582 nucleotides) under Nicotiana benthamiana. RNAcentral describes it as "long non-coding RNA (NBEN_LNC040689)". The record is from RNAcentral. Lineage: Eukaryota; Viridiplantae; Streptophyta; Magnoliopsida; Solanales; Solanaceae.
GAAAAAAUCACCGGAAACCAGCCAGCCACGCGCCCCCACGCGCCGGCAAUACCCUCGGCGCGUGAGCCCACGUGCCGGCGCGUGAGGGCCUUUCCGGCCACUUUUUCAGUUCGCUCCAGAAGGACAGUUUGGUCGGCCUUCAAUUCCGACACUACCCAUCCUUGUUUCGUUCGAUUCCGACAACUUUCAGUUUUUUAAGCCCACGCGCCGACGCGUGAGGGCCUUUCCGGCCACUUUUUCAGUUCGCUCCAGAAGGACAGUUUUUUUCGGCCUUCAAUUCCGACCCUUCCCAUCCUUGUUUCGUUCGAUUCCGACAACUUUCAGUUUUUUCCGGCGACUUUAUUGAUUUUUCCGGCAGCUACAGUACUUUCCAGCCAGAAUUUCUUCAGGACAGUUUGCUCAACCUUGAAUUCCGAGCCUAUCCGUAUUUUUAUUUUUCAAUUCCGACAACUUUGAAUUUUUCCGGCAGCUACAGUACUUUUUCCGGCGAUACAGUGUUCCAGUUUUCCGGCAGCUCCAGUUUUCAGUUCUCUGUUUCAGUUUCAGCGAGUUUUCAGUUGAUAAUCCAAAGAUGUCUUUGGN